GGGCGAGUGGCGGAAUGGUAGACGCGCAAGAUUUAGGAUCUUGUGGGGGUGACCCCGUGAGAGUUCAAAUCUCUCCUCGCCCACCA
This 86-nucleotide transfer RNA is filed under the name Armatimonadota bacterium. RNAcentral's name for it is "Armatimonadetes bacterium tRNA-Leu". It matches the Rfam family "tRNA". From Rfam's summary of the family: Transfer RNA (tRNA) molecules are approximately 80 nucleotides in length. Lineage: Bacteria; Bacillati; Armatimonadota. The record is from RNAcentral.